GACGUAGGGCGCGAGCGUUGUCCGGAUUUAUUGGGCGUAGAGAGCUCGUAGGCGGUUUGUUGCGUCGGCUGUGAAAACCCAUGGCUUAACUGUGGGCUUGCAGCCGAUACGGGCAGACUAGAGUUCGGUAGGGGAGACUGGAAUUCCUGGUGUAGCGGUGAAAUGCGCAGAUAUCAGGAGGAACACCGGUGGCGAAGGCGGGUCUCUGGGCCGAUACUGACGCUGAGGAGCGAAAGCGUGGGGAGCGAACAGG
This 253-nucleotide ribosomal RNA is filed under the name uncultured bacterium. RNAcentral describes it as "partial 16S ribosomal RNA". It matches the Rfam family "Bacterial small subunit ribosomal RNA", at positions 524 to 776 of the family's 1533-position model. The record is from RNAcentral.